UCUCUUGCCAACAACAACGACCAUCGCCGCCAACGCUACCCCGUGUGCCCUCCUGCUCGGUCCUUCCUGCCACCUGGACCGAGAGGGCACCCCUGCUCUGGCCUAGUUGGAGGACGGCGCAAGGCUGCUGCUCCUCCAUGUAUUCGUUGACAUGCUUCUUUCAUUCGGAGUGAACCCUUGGUUGCUCUGCCUAUAAAUAUGAAGAGGGGUAAAGCUUACUGCGUGCGGGGAUGCCUGCCAUGGAUGUGUGCCGCCGUGGUGGCAAGGAUGCCAACUUGCUGCUGCUCCUUGCCUCUGUAGAGCUGCUGCGCACAGACACCAUCCGCAUUGAAGGUCUCCCCAAGCUCCUGACCCCCCUACCGCCCCAACGUGCCACAACUCCAACACGUUGUUGCUGAUGUUGACCUUCCCAACCCGUCGCUGCAGGC
Molecule: long non-coding RNA, 428 nt
Organism: Lolium rigidum
Lineage: Eukaryota; Viridiplantae; Streptophyta; Magnoliopsida; Poales; Poaceae
Exons: 3
Source: RefSeq, a predicted model, not a curated record